Molecule: ribosomal RNA, 1138 nt
Filed under: Flavobacterium psychrophilum
Lineage: Bacteria; Pseudomonadati; Bacteroidota; Flavobacteriia; Flavobacteriales; Flavobacteriaceae
Description: bacterial SSU rRNA
Rfam family: Bacterial small subunit ribosomal RNA
Source: RNAcentral
ACGCGUAUGCAAUCCUACCUUUUACAGAGGGAUAGCCCAGAGAAAUUUGGAUUAAUACCUCAAGUAUAGUGAGUUGGCAUCAACACACUAUUAAAGUCACAACGGUAAAAGAUGAGCAUGCGUCCCAUUAGCUAGUUGGUAAGGUAACGGCUUACCAAGGCAACGAUGGGUAGGGGUCCUGAGAGGGAGAUCCCCCACACUGGUACUGAGACACGGACCAGACUCCUACGGGAGGCAGCAGUGAGGAAUAUUGGUCAAUGGGCGCAAGCCUGAACCAGCCAUGCCGCGUGCAGGAUGACGGUCCUAUGGAUUGUAAACUGCUUUUGCACAGGAAGAAACACUCGGUCGUGACCGAGCUUGACGGUACUGUGAGAAUAAGGAUCGGCUAACUCCGUGCCAGCAGCCGCGGUAAUACGGAGGAUCCAAGCGUUAUCCGGAAUCAUUGGGUUUAAAGGGUCCGUAGGCGGCCAGAUAAGUCAGUGGUGAAAGCCCAUCGCUCAACGAUGGAACGGCCAUUGAUACUGUUUGGCUUGAAUUAUUUGGAAGUAACUAGAAUAUGUAGUGUAGCGGUGAAAUGCUUAGAGAUUACAUGGAAUACCAAUUGCGAAGGCAGGUUACUACAAAUUGAUUGACGCUGAUGGACGAAAGCGUGGGUAGCGAACAGGAUUAGAUACCCUGGUAGUCCACGCCGUAAACGAUGGAUACUAGCUGUUGGGAGCAAUCUCAGUGGCUAAGCGAAAGUGAUAAGUAUCCCACCUGGGGGAGUACGUUCGCAAGAAUGAAACUCAAAGGAAUUGACGGGGGCCCGCACAAGCGGUGGAGCAUGUGGUUUAAUUCGAUGAUACGCGAGGAACCUUACCAAGGCUUAAAUGUAGAUUGACCGGUUUGGAAACAGACUUUUCGCAAGACAAUUUACAAGGUGCUGCAUGGUUGUCGUCAGCUCGUGCCGUGAGGUGUCAGGUUAAGUCCUAUAACGAGCGCAACCCCUGUUGUUAGUUGCCAGCGAGUCAUGUCGGGAACUCUAGCAAGACUGCCAGUGUAAACUGUGAGGAAGGUGGGGAUGACGUCAAAUCAUCACGGCCCUUACGCCUUGGGCUACACACGUGCUACAAUGGCCGGUACAGAGAGCAGCCACUAC